Erinaceus europaeus (western European hedgehog) is the source of this 2002-nucleotide long non-coding RNA. RefSeq lists it as uncharacterized. The record is from RefSeq and is a predicted model, not a curated record. NCBI's taxonomy places the organism in Eukaryota, Metazoa, Chordata, Mammalia, Eulipotyphla, Erinaceidae. The transcript has 3 exons.
GCGCACAAUUCCUCGCUGCACCGAAUCCCCGCCACCCCCUUAACCCCUCUCGGGGACGCCCCUUGGCGACUGGGGUCCUUUUGUGCUUGGGGGCUAGGGGGGCGCUGGCCCCACGGCCUCCAUGCUAAUGAUGAAGGGGCGCGCUGGGAGAGGACAGCUCCAGCCCAGCAUGGGCAUCCCCCAAGGCCAAGGCCCCUAGAACCCUUUUCAUUUGGCGAGGGGCUGCAGCGUGGGGAGGGGCGGGAGCGGGCGGGGGCCGGGGUCUGCCAGCCUGGCUCCCCGUGCGCCCAGGACCUGCCCCGCCACUUGGCUGGGCCGCGACGCGGUGGCCCGUCCCGGGUCAGAGAGUGGGGACGCCCCUUCCCCGCCCCCAGGCGCAGCCGAGGUCGGCGCCGGAGCCCCACAGGCCCCGGGGCUCUGGAGUGAAGGCGGCGCGGCGGGCUCGGGGGACCCCCAGGCUAGGCCUGAGUCCUGUCCGCGGAGUUGGAGGUGCAGGCCGGGGCCCACGGCCCAGGGGACCCCAGAGAGGAAGGUUCUCCCACUCCUUUGGUGCCACAGUCCCUGCGCUGGCUGCCCGUCUGCGUUAAGACCCUGGGCCUGGCCUCUUCCUGCUGGCAACCUGGCAAGAAAUCUAGACCCCAGACCUGAGGGAGAGAAACAGAGAAAAAGGUGGGGGAGAGAUCUCUCCAGCACUAAUGCUUCACUUGUGAAACCUCUUUUUCCCUGCUGAUGGAGAAUGGAGACAGGAAAUGGGGUCCUCCUUCUUGGAUAGGUGUGUUUUACCAGGUGAUUUAAGGUUUGCCAAACAGCAUUCAGAGAUUCCAUGAAUGUGCCCAAAUUGCAAAGGAAACCUUAGAAAAAAUGCCUCCCUGAGGUGAAGUUAACUUGCUUGGAACUGAAGACUUUUUUUUUUAUAAGGAUGCCAGUUUGCCCACUGUAUGGCCCAAGUGUUUAUUCAGCGGAGUCUUGGAUGAAAGCCACCACGUCAAUGUCACAUUCUCCGCACAUGUGAGGAAAAUACAUGUGAGACAUAGCAAAUUAGGUGUCAUGCUCUGGGAAGGGUGGAAUGGGAUUGAUUUGCCACUUUUAGCAAUGCUCUUUUACUGUCAGCUGUGGCUUUUAGGAGAGCAUUAGAGAUUCUUGUCACAGAUGUUUCUUUCAUAAACUGUUGGGAGAGAAUGACAUUCUGCAAAGAUGGUUUACUACUCUUCUUUCUUCUCUCGGGGAAACAAAGUACGUCGGCACUCCUCGCCAAAUGGACUCAAGGAGCGCUCUUCAUUUAUACCACAAUGGCAUUAAGGAUCGUGACAUUUGAAAGUUGAUUUUAGAACUUUGUUGGCAAGUGUAGUGUGUGGAGGUAUUUAUUCAAUGUGUUUGCCAUUGAGGAGGUCUGUAAGGCUGUUUUAUUGGGGGAGGGUGACAACCAGCCCAUUGGAUAUUUAAAAAAAAAUGUUUGUGUGCCUUAAAUUGAUUGGCACACAACUGAUUCAAGGGAUUAAUAUUUCUAGCAGUAGAUGUAGUCCAUUCAAAUGACUACAUUAGGAGAAGUGAAAAUUCUAGCAUGGCUUUUUUUUUUUUUUUUUUUUUUUGCUUAGAAGAUGAAGUUUAUGAAGAACAAUCAUACUGGCCUGAAAAAAGGUCCUUGAUGGAACUGCUUGAUGGAGAUUUUAAUAUUCAGGGGGCAAAAAUCCCUUAUCCACUGGGACUUUUAAUUCAGCACCUCCAUUUGGUAUAAUUUUCACUGAGAAUUUGGGGGAGUAAAUGUAAGUAGUCUGUACAUAAGUAUUUUCCUGCUGAACAAAAAUGCAGUUGCCAUAGCAACUGCACCAUCACAUGAAAUCCAAGACAUAGGAAGAAUAUUUUUCAAAAAGUGUGUUACCCAUGUGUCAUAUUAAUUUUUCUACUUUGUGUAUGAGUCAGACUGUUUUCAUCUGACUCUAUGUGACAGCCCAGUGCUUAAUCAUUCACUCAUUAAAGUUCUUUUUUUUCCCCCUUUAAAUGC